Long non-coding RNA from Mustela erminea (ermine), 876 nucleotides. RefSeq lists it as uncharacterized. The transcript is spliced from 3 exons. The record is from RefSeq and is a predicted model, not a curated record. NCBI's taxonomy places the organism in Eukaryota, Metazoa, Chordata, Mammalia, Carnivora, Mustelidae.
GCGGGGCGUGAGGGCGGAGCUCGCCUGGCUGCUGGGACGGAACCCCCGCUCCGUAAGAGGGCUUACACUGGCGGGUGCAUUCAUCAUGUUACAUAUGGCAGGAUCUCCUUCUUUUGUAAGUGGUCUUUUCCAGUUUUUGGCCGUAUGUGAAACUAUAUGACACACAGCUGUGAUCGUUAUACAGUUUGAAUUCUGCUUUUUACAAUUAUCCUUAACAUUUCCACACACGCUUGAAAUUUUUACUUUUUAGUGGUGGCAAAAUAAAACUUUCAAAAAGGAUGUACUAUAAUAUAAUGAAUUGGUUCCUUAUGCCUGGAUAAGUGACCUUGAAUUCUGCUCUACUGAGCAGCUAAAAUAAUAAACAUGGAACAUAAUACAGAAAUAAAGGGUAUCACAAUGUCUUGACAGCAUUUUUCUGAAAUAUAUUAUUGCAGGCAUUAGUAGUUUUCUUAGAGCACAACUAGAGGAUGGUGUCACAAAAAUAAAUAAAUAAAUAAAUAAAUAAUCAAUCAUCCAGUCAACAGGGUACAUGAAAAGGUGCUCAACAUCACUAACCAUCAGGAAAAUGCAAAAAUCAAAACGACAUUGAGUCAUGCCAGUCAGAACAGCUGUUAUCAAAAAACAAAAAAUAAUAAGUGUUGGCAAGGAUGUGGAGAAAAGGGAAACCUUGUGGUUUGCUGGUGGGAAUAUGAAUUCAUACAGCCACCGUGGAAAACAGGAUGAAGUUUUCUCAAGAAAUUAAAAAUAGAAAUAUCAUAUGGUCCCACAAUUCUACUUCUGGGUAUUCAAAGGAAAAGAAAACACUAACUCAAAAGUUACAAGCAUCUCCAUGUUCACACAGCAUAAUUCAUAAUAGCCAAGGCAAGGAAGCAACCU